CCUACGGGUGGCAGCAGUGGGGAAUAUUGGUCAAUGGCCGAGACGCUGAACCAGCCAAGUCGCGUGAGGGAAGACGGCCCUACGGGUUGUAAACCUCUUUUGUCGGGGAGCAAAGCGAGUCACGUGUGCCACAUUGAGAGUACCCGAAGAAAAAGCAUCGGCUAACUCCGUGCCAGCAGCCGCGGUAAUACGGGGGAUGCGAGGGUUAUCCGGAUUUAUUGGGGUAAAGGGGUGGGCAGGGGGAGGUGCAAGCCAGCGGGAAAAUUGCGGGGCUCAACCCCGUACUGCCGUUGAAACUGCAUCCCUUGAGUGCGCGAGAAGGAUGCGGAAUGCGUGGUGUAGCGGUGAAAUGCGUAGAUAUCACGAAGAACUCCGAUUGCGAAGGCAGUUCACUGGACUGCAACUGACACUGAGGCUCGAAAGUGUGGGUAUCAAACAGGAUUAGAUACCCUUGUAGUC
RNAcentral lists this ribosomal RNA (459 nucleotides) under uncultured bacterium. RNAcentral's name for it is "partial 16S ribosomal RNA". It matches the Rfam family "Bacterial small subunit ribosomal RNA", at positions 338 to 795 of the family's 1533-position model. The record is from RNAcentral.